UACAGAGGUGGCAAGCGUUGUUCGGAAUUACUGGGCGUAAAGGGCGCGUAGGCGGCCUUGUAAGUCUUGUGUGAAAUCCCUCGGCUCAACUGAGGAACUGCACGAGAUACUGUGAGGCUUGAGUUCGGGAGAGGGAAGCGGAAUUCCGGGUGUAGCGGUGAAAUGCGUAGAUAUCCGGAGGGACACCGGUGGCGAAGGCGGCUUCCUGGACCGACACUGACGCUGAGGCGCGAAAGCUAGGGGAGCAAACGGG
RNAcentral lists this ribosomal RNA (253 nucleotides) under uncultured bacterium. RNAcentral describes it as "partial 16S ribosomal RNA". It matches the Rfam family "Bacterial small subunit ribosomal RNA", at positions 524 to 776 of the family's 1533-position model. The record is from RNAcentral.